UCAUUAAACAUAGAUUUGCAAGGGAAGAAAGCAUAUGAGAAUCAUAUUAAAACAAUAGUGGUGAAGAAAUCCGAAAACUAGUUGGAAUAUCAUUAUGAAUUAAAAGAUGGGGAAACUUGAUAUAAGUUCAAUUUUUUGAGUCAAUAGUAGGAAUAAUCCAAUUUAUUAAAAUAAGUCCAAUUCCUUAAAUUUAAUUAUUUUAUUAUCAAUAAUUAUCUCUUCAAUGAAAAAAUUUAUUGUAAAAAUCAAAUUUCUUCCUAAUUAUCUCUUUGAUUAUUUCUUUUUAUUUUUUAUUUAUUUUUUGUUAUUUCUUGUUCUUCCUCUUGCUUUAUCCUAUUUAUAGAUUUUAUAUUAAUUUUUAUAAUCAACCUAUAUUACAGGUUAAUUGUAUUUAUCUACCUAUAUGACAGAUUUUUUUUCAUAGUCAACAUGUCACAGAUUAAUGUGUCUUGCUUGUAGGUAUAUUAUGUUUUUUCUACCUUUUAGUUAGGUUUCAUAUCUCACUUAUAGGUAUAAUAUACAUUCAUAAAUUUGCUACUUGAGUUAGGGUAGAAUGUUUUGCAGAUAGAUUUAUGUUAGUAUAUUAGUAUUUUUGUUAUAAGAUAUUAAUUAGAUAUUUUGGAGUUGGAAAAUGCAUAAUAUUAUAAGAUUUUAAUUGAUUAUUAAUAUUUUUAGAAAACAUUAAAUGAGUAUAAAAGAAAUAAAUACAUAUAAUUAGAUAACUGGAUUCUUUCCUAAAUACACUCUGUGAUUUUGGACCUGGAUCUAAAAGCCCCAUUAAA
Molecule: long non-coding RNA, 782 nt
Filed under: Malus domestica (apple)
Lineage: Eukaryota; Viridiplantae; Streptophyta; Magnoliopsida; Rosales; Rosaceae
Description: long non-coding RNA (MDOM_LNC008153)
Source: RNAcentral